This 2058-nucleotide ribosomal RNA is filed under the name Schleiferiaceae bacterium. RNAcentral's name for it is "partial 23S ribosomal RNA". It matches the Rfam family "Bacterial large subunit ribosomal RNA", at positions 828 to 2925 of the family's 2925-position model. Lineage: Bacteria; Pseudomonadati; Bacteroidota; Flavobacteriia; Flavobacteriales; Schleiferiaceae. The record is from RNAcentral.
GCCAAUCAAACUCGGAAAUAGCUCGUUCUCCCCGAAAUGCUUUUAGGAGCAGCGUUAUGUUAUAGAGUAGUAGAGGUAGAGCUACUGGUUGGAUGCGGGGGCUUCAUCGCCUACCAAAUCCUGUCAAACUCCGAAUGCUACUACUUGUUUCAUAGCAGUGAGGGCAUGGGUGCUAAGGUCCAUGUCCGAGAGGGAAAGAACCCAGACCAUCUGCUAAGGUCCCCAAAUGUAUACUAAGUUGAUCAAACGUGGUCAGACUGCUUAGACAGCUAGGAUGUUGGCUUGGAAGCAGCCAUUCAUUUAAAGAGUGCGUAACAGCUCACUAGUCGAGCGGUCCGGCGUGGAUAAUAAUCGGGCAUAAGUAUACUACCGAAGCAAUGGACAUGAAAAUGUGGUAGGGGAGCAUUCUAGUUGCGCCGAAGGUGAAUCGUGAGGUUUGCUGGAGCGGCUAGAAAAGAAAAUGUAGGAAUGAGUAACGAUAAAGCGGGUGAGAAACCCGCUCGCCGAAAAUCUAAGGUUUCCUCAGCUAUGCUAAUCAGCUGAGGGUUAGUCGCGACCUAAGGCGAACCCGAACGGGGUAGUCGAUGGACAACAGGUUAAUAUUCCUGUACUUGUUUAUACUGCGAUGGGGUGACGAUGUACUGAAAGCACCGCGCACUGACGGAAUAGUGCGUUGAAGACUGUAUCUAUAGGACCUGUAGGCAAAUCCGCAGGACCUGGAGAAGGUCGAUAGUACCGAGAGUCUUCGGACAAUCGGAUAGUGUGCCUAAAAACAUCCAAGAAAAACCUCUAAGCUUCAGGUAUAAACAACGCGUACCGUAAACCGACACAGGUAGAUGGGAUGAGAAUUCUAAGGCGCUCGAGUGAUUCAUGGCUAAGGAACUAGGCAAAAUAGUCCCGUAACUUCGGGAGAAGGGACGCCCCCUUAUGGGGGGCCGCAGUGAAAAGGCCCAGGCGACUGUUUAUCAAAAACACAGGACUCUGCUAAAUCGAAAGAUGAUGUAUAGGGUCUGACACCUGCCCGGUGCUGGAAGGUUAAGAGGAGAUGUUAGCUUCGGCGAAGCAUUGAAUUGAAGCCCCAGUAAACGGCGGCCGUAACUAUAACGGUCCUAAGGUAGCGAAAUUCCUUGUCGGGUAAGUUCCGACCUGCACGAAUGGUGUAACGAUCUGGGCACUGUCUCAGCCAUGAGCUCGGUGAAAUUGUAGUAUCGGUGAAGAUGCCGAUUACCCGCAGCGGGACGAAAAGACCCCGUGAACCUUCACUACAACUUUGUAUUGACAUUGGACAAGAGAUGUGUAGGAUAGGUGGGAGACUUUGAAGCGUUGUCGCUAGGCAGCGUGGAGUCAACCUUGAAAUACCACCCUUCGCUUGUUUGAUGCCUAACCCCGCAAGGGGGACAGUGCAUGGUGGGUAGUUUGACUGGGGUGGUCGCCUCCAAAAGAGUAACGGAGGCUUUCAAAGGUAUCCUCAGUACGCUUGGUAACCGUACGUAGAGUGCAAUGGCACAAGGAUGCUUGACUGUGAGACUAACAAGUCGAGCAGGUACGAAAGUAGGACAUAGUGAUCCGGUGGUUCCGCAUGGAAGGGCCAUCGCUCAAAGGAUAAAAGGUACUCCGGGGAUAACAGGCUGAUCUCCCCCAAGAGCUCACAUCGACGGGGGGGUUUGGCACCUCGAUGUCGGCUCGUCACAUCCUGGGGCUGGAGAAGGUCCCAAGGGUUGGGCUGUUCGCCCAUUAAAGUGGCACGCGAGCUGGGUUCAGAACGUCGCGAGACAGUUCGGUCUCUAUCUGCUGUGGGCGUUGGAAAUUUGAGAGGAGCUGACUUUAGUACGAGAGGACCGAGUUGGACAGCCCUCUAGUGUACCUGUUGUUUCGCCAGAAGCAUUGCAGGGUAGCUACGGCUGGUUGGGAUAAGCACUGAAAGCAUAUAAGUGCGAAGCCCACCUCAAGAUGAGAUUUCCCUUAAGGGUCGUUCGAGAUGAGGACGUUGAUAGGCUUCAGGUGUAAAGGCAGUAAUGUCAUAGCCGAGAAGUACUAAUUACCCGUGGCUUUCUAAGA